This 444-nucleotide ribosomal RNA is filed under the name uncultured bacterium. RNAcentral describes it as "partial 16S ribosomal RNA". It matches the Rfam family "Bacterial small subunit ribosomal RNA", at positions 354 to 796 of the family's 1533-position model. The record is from RNAcentral.
GUAGGGAAUAUUGGGCAAUGGUCGGAAGACUGACCCAGCCAUGCCGCGUGCAGGAAGACGGCCCUCUGGGUUGUAAACUGCUUUUAUCUGGGAAGAAAAAGGCCAUGCGUGGCAAAUUGCCGGUACCAGAUGAAUAAGCACCGGCUAACUCCGUGCCAGCAGCCGCGGUAAUACGGAGGGUGCGAGCGCUGUCCGGAUUUAUUGGGUUUAAAGGGUGCGUAGGCGGCUGAUUAAGUCAGCGGUGAAAGACUUCGGCUUAACCGGAGCAGUGCCGUUGAUACUGGUUGGCUUGAGUGUCGGAGGGGUACAUGGAAUUGAUGGUGUAGCGGUGAAAUGCAUAGAUACCAUCAGGAACACCGAUAGCGAAGGCAUUGUACUGGCCGACAACUGACGCUGAUGCACGAAAGUGUGGGGAUCGAACAGGAUUAGAAACCCGGGUAGUCC